AGAGAGAGACAUGCGCGCAUAUCAAUAAGCGGAGGAAAAGAAACUAACAAGGAUUCCCUUAGUAACGGCGAGUGAAGCGGGAAGAGCUCAAAUUUGAAAUCUUCAAGGUUCUACCUUGACGAAUUGUAGUUUAUAGAAGUGUUUUCUGUUAGUGGAGUGGCAAAAGUUCUUUGGAAUAGGACAUCAUAGAGGGUGAGAAUCCCGUAUUUGGUCAUUCCUCCUAGCGUUGUGAUACACUUUCAACGAGUCGGAUUGUUUGGGAAUGCAGUCCAAAAUGGGUGGUAAAUUUCAUCUAAAGCUAAAUAUUGGCGAGAGACCGAUAGCGAACAAGUACCGUGAGGGAAAGAUGAAAAGAACUUUGAAAAGAGAGUUAAACAGUACGUGAAAUUGUCAAAAGGGAAGCGUUUGACACCAGUGUUGUUUUUCCGAAAAUCAAUUACGAAUGUUUUAUUUUUGAGGAGUUAUGACUUCAUCGGCUUGCUCCUUUCUUUACUGAAACCUUCUUAAUGCACUUUUCGGUUAACAAGUCAACAUCAAUUUCUUUUGUUGUAAAAGGGUAUGAGGAAGGUGGCUUUCUUUUCGGAGAAAGUGUUUAUAGCCUUGUGCCUCUGCAAUCGGAGAGAUUGAGGUCUGCAGCGUAGAUCCUUCGGGGUUAGAUACGUUUGUGCUAAAUUAUAGCUUUUCAUAGACAACUUGUUGACUAUGUUUAGUCUUGUAGCUUACUCGCUGAUGCUAUUUUACCUACGCUUAGGAUGUUGAUAGUCACAGCGUGUAC
Molecule: ribosomal RNA, 775 nt
Filed under: uncultured Neocallimastigales
Lineage: Eukaryota; Fungi; Neocallimastigomycota; Neocallimastigomycetes; Neocallimastigales
Description: partial large subunit ribosomal RNA
Rfam family: Eukaryotic large subunit ribosomal RNA
Source: RNAcentral